RNAcentral lists this ribosomal RNA (460 nucleotides) under uncultured bacterium. Its description in RNAcentral is "partial 16S ribosomal RNA". It matches the Rfam family "Bacterial small subunit ribosomal RNA", at positions 338 to 795 of the family's 1533-position model. The record is from RNAcentral.
CCUACGGGUGACAGCAGUGAGGAAUAUUGGUCAAUGGGCGCGAGCCUGAACCAGCCAAGUAGCGUGAAGGAUGACUGCCCUACGGGUUGUAAACUUCUUUUAUAUGGGAAUAAAGUGAGGCACGUGUGGGUUUUUGUAUGUACCUUAUGAAUAAGGAUCGGCUAACUCCGUGCCAGCAGCCGCGGUAAUACGGAGGAUCCGAGCGUUAUCCGGAUUUAUUGGGUUUAAAGGGAGCGUAGAUGGGUUGUUAAGUCAGUUGUGAAAGUUUGCGGCUCAACCGUAAAAUUGCAUUUGAAACUGGCAGUCUUGAGUACAGUAGAGGUAGGCGGAAUUCGUGGUGUAGCGGUGAAAUGCUUAGAUAUCACGAAGAACUCCGAUUGCGAAGGCAGCUUACUGAACUGCAACUGACACUGAGGCUCGAAAGUGUGGGUAUCAAACAGGAUUAGAUACCCGAGUAGUC